GAUGAACGCUGGCGGCGUGCCUAAUACAUGCAAGUCGAGCGAACAGACGAGGAGCUUGCUCCUCUGACGUUAGCGGCGGACGGGUGAGUAACACGUGGAUAACCUACCUAUAAGACUGGGAUAACUUCGGGAAACCGGAGCUAAUACCGGAUAAUAUAUUGAACCGCAUGGUUCAAUAGUGAAAGACGGUUUUGCUGUCACUUAUAGAUUGAUCCGCGCCGCAUUAGCUAGUUGGUAAGGUAACGGCUUACCAAGGCAACGAUGCGUAGCCGACCUGAGAGGGUGAUCGGCCACAAUGGAACUGAGACACGGUCCAGACUCCUAAGGGAGGCAGCAGUAGGGAAUCUUCCGCAAUGGGCGAAAGCCUGACGGAGCAACGCCGCGUGAGUGAUGAAGGUCUUCGGAUAGUAAAACUCUGUUAUUAGGGAGGAACAAAUGUGUAAGUAACUAUGCACGUCUUGACGGUACAUAAUCAGAAAGCCACGGCUAACUACGUG
This 497-nucleotide ribosomal RNA is filed under the name uncultured bacterium. RNAcentral describes it as "partial 16S ribosomal RNA". It matches the Rfam family "Bacterial small subunit ribosomal RNA", at positions 28 to 507 of the family's 1533-position model. The record is from RNAcentral.